GACGAACGCUGGCGGCGUGCUUAACACAUGCAAGUCGAGCGAGGCCCCUCCUUCGGGAGGGUGUCCUAGCGGCGAACGGGUGAGUAACACGUGGGCAACCUGCCCCCGGCUCUGGGAUAACUCGAAGAAAUUGGGGCUAAUACCGGAUAUGACCGCUGACCGCAUGGUCUGGUGGUGGAAAGAUUUAUCGGCUGGGGAUGGGCCCGGGGCCUAUCAGCUUGUUGGUGGGGUAGUGGCCUACCAAGGCGACGACGGGUAGCCGGCCUGAGAGGGUGACCGGCCACACUGGGACUGAGACACGGCCCAGACUCCUACGGGAGGCAGCAGUGGGGAAUAUUGCGCAAUGGGCGGAAGCCUGACGCAGCGACGCCGCGUGGGGGAUGACGGCCUUCGGGUUGUAAACCUCUUUCAGCAGGGACGAAGCGAAAGUGACGGUACCUGCAGAAGAAGCACCGGCCAACUACGUGCCAGCAGCCGCCGUAA
RNAcentral lists this ribosomal RNA (483 nucleotides) under uncultured bacterium. Its description in RNAcentral is "partial 16S ribosomal RNA". It matches the Rfam family "Bacterial small subunit ribosomal RNA", at positions 28 to 523 of the family's 1533-position model. The record is from RNAcentral.